Molecule: long non-coding RNA, 4765 nt
Filed under: Homo sapiens (human)
Lineage: Eukaryota; Metazoa; Chordata; Mammalia; Primates; Hominidae
Description: HSALNT0049671
Source: RNAcentral
CACACCCCUGCCUCCGCCCUAAACUUGCGUCUGGGUCAAUUGGUAGUGGGGCAGUUGUGUGGAGGGUUUUGUCACUGUAUCUAUUCCACCACGCCCUGCCUUUCCCUUCACACAGCCCCCACUCUGGUCCAGGCCCGGCUGGCGCGGUGACUCCUCCCCCACUGCCUGGUCCUCCCCCGCCCCUCCCACGCAGGCUCCAACACCGUCGGGGUAGGUUCUUUCUCCUAAAACAUUGCUGAGCCCCACAUCGUGUUAGGUUCUUUCUCAUAAAACAUUGCUGAGCUCCAUCUCAGUAAAUGUCCAGCAACCCCCCGCCCGCCCCCCAGACUAGGUGGAGCCACACUAGGCCACUUCUGUGACUCUGGGGUUGGCCCCAGCUGUUCCUCACUCAGUUCCCCACUCUGCUCCCCACUGCGGGGCUCACUGCCCCUCCUCCUGCUGUCCUGAAUCCAUGCUGAGCUCCAGCCCUCCCCACCUGAGACACCUCCCUCUGCCUCCCUCAUCAGAGGCGGGCACCAGUCCAGAGCCGGCUUCGCCACCCAGCCUUGAGUCACCUCUCCACCUGGCCACCUACGGAGAAGCUCCUAGGUUUGGAUCUCAUCGCUACCAUAGACUGUUGGAGUUUCAAGGGUGGAGAUCCGCCAUUGCUUUUUCCAUAUCCGCAGAAAUUCCUUUCACAUGAAAUGUGAGUCUGUUGGGUUCCCCCCCGAGACCAGCGGUGGAAGAAGAAGCUGGAGGUGGCUGAUGAGACACUUCAUGCUGGACCAAGAAACGGGGACUCGGGGUUGAGUCCACAUGUGCCAUUUGUGGGGACGCCGUGCAUUCCCCAGUUUGCCGCUCUCUGUUUCAAAUUCUUUCACUCGAUGCUGUUGUGGGCAUGAAGUCAAAGCAGGCAUGUGUGAGACAGUGCUUUGUAAAACAUAAGGCACGGAACAAGUUUAGAACAGGAAGAGUUGAAGCUGGAUUGACGCAAUUACCAAAAAUAAAAUUAGCUGAGGGUGUCAGCGAUGAGCCAUGGAACUUUUAAUAAUCAUCACAUUUUAGGUCGGUGCCUUUAUGCUUUGAAUUCAAAUGGCAUCAAUUUAGGAAUAAAGAAGUCAACAGUUUUAAUGGCCCAAUAUGGAUGCAAGGGUCACUGAUUACUUUAGGGUCCUUAUGUUGCAAGGAGUCUAGGAAAAACUUCAAUUUUUUUUUUUUACAGCAACGUGAUUCUCUUUGUGGUGUCUACUAAAAUAAGAAAGUUACAGUGAGAUUUCUUCAGUGUUCUGAUGGCUUUCUGCCUCUCCUCUGACCAGCGUGAGCCACUCCUUCAUCUCUGCCUCUCACUUUCUGCUUGACAGUCAAGGCUCGCCUUGAACCUCCCUCUUCAGAAAGCCUUUCUGACCUGCCUCCUCAGGAGUGUUUGUUUGUGGUAUUUGACCACAAUCUGCACUAUACUAAUUAGCUAUGAUUUUUAUGGGGCUGGAGGAACUUCUAAGGCAGCAGCCGCGUCGGGUUCUUCUGUCUCCUUCCCAGGGCUUCCUCAGGGCUUAGUACAGGGCAUGUGCUAAGCAUUCCCUAGCCCCUUCCUUUGCCCUUGUUUGUUCUUUCUAAUCAGAUUCUGUGGGGAAGUUCAUUGUCACAAUGUCCAAUGUUUAGCAUUCAAAGGCUGCAUGAGGUAGAUCAGGUAAACAUACCUCUCUGGCUGUACCAAAAUGGGGGGUUUGGCAUAUCCGCCACCUGAAAGCAGCUGGACCCUGCGUGGAUCUGGGUUUGUAUGCUGUGAGUAAUGCUGUCUGCAUCUUCGAAUCUUUCACUGUAAGAAACAAAAGUCUGACAGCCUCUGAAUCCCGCCCUCCUUCCUGAUACACUGUGACAAUGUGUUUAUAGUACCCUGUUGAUGCUGACCAGAUGCUUGAAGAGGACAGGGUCAGAUGCUUUGUUUGCCGAAGAAACCAGGUAGAUACCCACACUGUGGCCCCAGGAGCUGGCAGCAUCCUGGCAGCACCCUCGCAGCACCGCAGAGCCCCCACCUGCCUGCCCGUCACCGAUGUCCUUUCUCUUCUUGAGUUAAGCCUUUCACUUACUGUCAGCUGGAGGAUGCAUGCCACAGCUAAAUCCCUGGCUAAAAGGUACUAACUCCCAGAUGCUCCAACCCCCACUGUGGGACUCACCGUGAAAAUGUCCAGUUUCUUUAUUAUCAAAGAAAAAUAAUAGUCAGUGAAACCCAAACAAAUCUUAGCGCUCCAUGUGGCACAGUCUCUGCCUAUUGGGACAAACUUGUGAUCUGUUUCAUACACCUUAAGAUACAAUGUAUCUUUCGGGAGUAUUUUUAAAGGGGCAGGGAGGCGGUGGGUGUGGUGCUUCCUGCAGAAAGACUCCUGAAAGGCGUCUUGACUUGUUUUUCUCGCUCCCCAAAGCCCAUCCUCUUGUGCCAGCUCACUCCCUCUCCACUCUGCUCCUCCAUUUCCUGUGCCUUUCCUGAGGGACUCAGCUUACACCCAACACACGCCAAGGGACUUUCAUUGCUGCAGCAUCUAGGACGUGUCAUCUCAUUGUCAUCACUCAACACUUUUCUUAUCAGCCUCAGGCUGUUACUUGGUCUCUGCAGAUACAGCAGAACUUGAGAGAGAACCAAAAAACAAAAUCCUUCCUUGGUCCUGGGUUAUUCGCUGGUGGAGUCUGUGUCUCUGCUAAGAUGACUUUGUCAAACACCUGCUAUGUGCCAGAGCGUGGGCCCUGUGUCCAGCACACUUGCAUGCCCUUUUGAGACUGACAGGCAUCAUUAUCUUUUCUACAAAAAAGAAAGACGAGGCACUGGGUGCAUAAUUAACCUGCCCCAGACACGCAGCCAGUUAGUGGUGAAGCUGGAGCCCCCCCCGGAGCCUUCACAUCACUGCCCUGCUCUCCAGCCAACCGUGGAACGAAACAAGAAGGCAGACAACGUCCACGGACGGCUCGCCCUGUGUUUAUUAUAGUGUUUGCAAAUCUGAAUAACUGAGCACAUUCCUGACAACCCUGACUACUGAAAUGAAGGCAAAGAGAUGGGAUGAAAAAUGGGUACUUUGGAUCAAAACAACCCCCGAUUUAUGUAAAUGUAACUCUAACUUUUGGACAGGUGGCAGGUUUGAGACUGGGAAGCUGGAUUCCCUCUGGACUGGGGGUGCCUCUGGCGACAACACUCCUGAGGAAGGCUCAAGCAGAGGAAUUUUUUAAAAUGAAUGAAUAAAUGAGCUCUUCUCAUAGGUUCUCAUGAAAGGAGGGUCCCCAAAGAAGGGGAAGGGCUGAAGGGUUGGGUGAUCUACACAUCAGCAGCAGCAGUGUGUGGUUUCACCUGACAGACUGCUUGUUUGGGAGGGUGGAGGGGCUCUCCCAGGGGAUCCCGAGGUUGCCCCUGAGUGAGCGAGGUCAGGACAAUCUCUCCUCUCCUUCCUGGGUCUCAGGGAGCUUCCAUGAACAGAGCUGGGGUCUGAGGCUGGCUCUUGGUUUGCAGCUGGGCUUGGCUGACACAGCCAGCCUGGCUCUGCUUGGGGUAGCAGGAUACAGGAAUUUAAGGCCAGCGUCUACUCCUGGGCGGGGGCAGGUCAUCCCCCUGCCAGCCCAUCUUUCCAAUGUGACUAAGGGAGGUGCAGUGGGAUGUGCAGGAAACGAGGAUCCCUUCAGCCUCACAGUCCCCGGGACAGGGGCCUUGCAUUUGUGUCUACUGGGCCGGUCUCACCCCAACAUCCUAAUGUCACCAACGUUGAACUUGUCUAUUGUCUCAGUUUGGGUUUUCCUGAAAGUAGGUCCUGAGACAGGACUUGCGUACAGGCAGUUUAUUUAGGGGACUGAGACAGGGAGAAAAGAAAAGACACAAUGUGUGAAUGAAUAAGACGGACUCUCCUGAGGACAAGUGUUACUCAGCCCCACCAACCCCUUCUGAGGACUGUGUAGGACCCACCUGGAAUUCAUCUCCCCAAAGUAUUAGGAGUCUGGGACACUUACUUUUCUGGGCCAGAAAAAGCCCCAGGCAGAGGUCCAUGAAGGACUGAUGUGGACAGAUGCUCUCCAGUGACCUCCUGCACCGAUGGUGUCUGCCACCCUGUCUUUGCCACCAGACUCUGAGUUCUGAGUCAAUUUCGUCCACGGGACCCAGCUGUGGGCUUGGCCCAUUUUUUUUUUUUUUUUAAUGAAUGAAUGAAUAAGCUCUUCUCAUAGCUUUUCAUGUAAGGAGGGUCCCAAAGAAGGAUGAGCCAGGAGGCCCAGAUAGGGGAUCCCCUUUAGUUCCAGGUAGAGGGACACCCCAGGGUUGAGAGGGAACAGAGCAGCCUGAGGAUGGCAAGGGAAGCGAGGGGUGGGGGUCUGGGGGCCUGGGGGCCUGAGCCCGCUUUGGCAAAGGCCAGGACAAAGUGGCCUUCUUGAGUGGUAGGGAACAGCAGGGUGUGACCUUCUUCCAGCCCAGGCUGGAGACCCCUCUGCCACCUCCUGGUGAGUGUGAUGGGGGGAGGUGGCCUCUGUGAUGAAAGUAGGAAUGGCCAGGGCUGAAGCAUCAUGAUGGAACUGUCCCCUGUGCCCCGGUUAUGUGUGUCACUGCUGUGCCAUGCCUGGGUGUGUGGGAGGACUGGAGGACACUGGCUGGGCCUGUAUCAGGGCCACAGGAGCCCACUGGAUGUUUGUGACUACACAUCAAGUAUGGAGGCUGCUGAGGACUGAAGGAGCCCCACCUGCAAGUCCGAAGAGCAUCUGUGAAGUCCCAGGCACACACCUGGGUGAUGGGGCCGGUGGUGGAGUUCCUGGGGUUCACCAG